GUGGGGAAUAUUGCACAAUGGGCGAAAGCCUGAUGCAGCGACGCCGCGUGAGGGAUGACGGCCUUCGGGUUGUAAACCUCUUUCAGCAGGGAAGAAGCGCAAGUGACGGUACCUGCAGAAGAAGCGCCGGCUAACUACGUGCCAGCAGCCGCGGUAAUACGUAGGGCGCAAGCGUUGUCCGGAAUUAUUGGGCGUAAAGAGCUCGUAGGCGGUCUGUCGCGUCUGGUGUGAAAUUCCGAGGCUCAACCUCGGGCUUGCAUCGGGUACGGGCAGACUAGAGUGCGGUAGGGGAGACUGGAAUUCCUGGUGUAGCGGUGGAAUGCGCAGAUAUCAGGAGGAACACCGAUGGCGAAGGCAGGUCUCUGGGCCGCAACUGACGCUGAGGAGCGAAAGCAUGGGGAGCGAACAGGAUUAGAUACCCUGGUAGUCC
This 430-nucleotide ribosomal RNA is filed under the name uncultured Isoptericola sp. RNAcentral's name for it is "bacterial SSU rRNA". It matches the Rfam family "Bacterial small subunit ribosomal RNA", at positions 354 to 796 of the family's 1533-position model. Lineage: Bacteria; Bacillati; Actinomycetota; Actinomycetes; Micrococcales; Promicromonosporaceae. The record is from RNAcentral.